This 314-nucleotide ribosomal RNA is filed under the name uncultured bacterium. RNAcentral's name for it is "bacterial SSU rRNA". It matches the Rfam family "Bacterial small subunit ribosomal RNA", at positions 28 to 334 of the family's 1533-position model. The record is from RNAcentral.
GAUGAACGCUAGCUACAGGCUUAACACAUGCAAGUCGAGGGCAGCGGGAUUGAAGCUUGCUUCAAUUGCCGGCGACCGGCGCACGGGUGAGUAACGCGUAUCCAACCUUCCGCUUACUCGGGGAUAGCCUUUCGAAAGAAAGAUUAAUACCCGAUGGUAUCUUAAGCACGCAUGAGAUUAAGAUUAAAGAUUUAUCGGUAAGAGAUGGCCUCGCGUCCGAUUAGCUGGUUGGUGAGGUAACGGCCCACCAAGGCGACGAUCGGUAGCCGGACUGAGAGGUUGAACGGCCACAUUGGGACUGAGACACGGCCCAG